GAACAAGAAGGGGAUCUGGCUGAAACAUCUGAGGCUUCAUCUAGGAUCAGGGCUCACUGCACUCUUCAGCCUACUUAAGCAGGUGGAUCCAUCCUUCCUCAUUGCUUCAAGUGUGUCCCUCCAGUGCUUGGACAUGAAGGCUGGCCUUCUCUGUGGAAGGAGGCCACUUUUCAGCCAAGGGUAACUGGGCAUCGGAAGAUGCUAAACAAGCCUUGAGGUCUCA
This 223-nucleotide small RNA is filed under the name Saimiri boliviensis boliviensis (Bolivian squirrel monkey). RNAcentral's name for it is "7SK RNA (ENSSBOG00000001162.1)". The record is from RNAcentral. Lineage: Eukaryota; Metazoa; Chordata; Mammalia; Primates; Cebidae.